This 520-nucleotide ribosomal RNA is filed under the name uncultured archaeon. Its description in RNAcentral is "bacterial SSU rRNA". It matches the Rfam family "Archaeal small subunit ribosomal RNA", at positions 347 to 875 of the family's 1478-position model. The record is from RNAcentral.
CCCCCCAAAACCCCAAAGCGGGGAAGGGGUCCCCCAAGCGUCCAAUUUGAACUGGGGUUUGUGAGUAAUGUCCCCUACUAAAAAGGAGAGGGGAAGGCUGGUGCCAGCCGCCCCGGUAAAACCAGCUCUUCAAGUGGUCGGGAUAAUUAUUGGGCUUAAACUGUCCGUAGCCGGUUUAGUAAGUUCCUGGUAAAAUCGGGUAGCUUACCUAUCUGCAUGCUAGGAAUACUGCUAUACUAGAGGGCGGGAGAGGUCUGAGGUACUACAGGGGUAGGGGUGAAAUCUUAUAAUCCUUGUAGGACCACCAGUGGCGAAGGCGUCAGACUGGAACGCGCCUGACGGUGAGGGACGAAAGCCAGGGGAGCGAACCGGAUUAGAUACCCGGGUAGUCCUGGCCGUAAACGAUGCAUACUAGGUGAUGGCACGGCCAUGAGCCAUGUCAGUGCCGUAGGGAAACCGUUAAGUGUGCCGCCUGGGAAGUACGGUCGCAAGGUUGAAACUUAAAGGAAUUGGCGGGGGA